Molecule: RNA transcript, 2300 nt
Organism: Wasmannia auropunctata (little fire ant)
Lineage: Eukaryota; Metazoa; Arthropoda; Insecta; Hymenoptera; Formicidae
Gene name: solute carrier family 25 member 35-like
Exons: 5
Source: RefSeq, a predicted model, not a curated record
ACCUUUUUAUUAAAUUCGCAAUGUAAUAAAAAUUAAUUUCUAAUUUCAAAUUUUUAUGAUCUAACUUCUCUAGUGCAAGAAAAGUAUUUAUAGAGAAAUAUAAGUACUUAUAUAUGCAAAAGAAAAUUGUCUAUAAAAUUUGCGAGUGAAAUAAUAUCACGAUUCGUCACCUUUAACGGCACUGAUUUUAAAAAUCACGCCUCUUCUGUGCAACUUGAUAAUUCUUAACAACAAAAUUGAUAUAUCCAAAUUGGUGAUAGUGUAACGCGAUUUCUCAACUCCUGAAAAAAUGUUAAAAUAAUAACUAAAAGCACGACGCCUAAAAACAAAGCCUUCCUAAAACCGAGGAUAAUAAUUCUCGAAAGAAGAAAUUUAGAAUUACUAAAAGAUAGAAAUAGGACAAAGAAUGGGAGAAGGAUCUAGUUGGGAAUAGGUUUUUUGGGUCGGAAAUGUUUCACAAUCAGUAAAGAUUCAGAAAUUGAUUUGUGGGACACACAAACGUCACAAAUGGUGGGGGGUUUCCGUUAUGUUGUUCCACCAGAUGGACACACAAAUGGUUUUAACACAGAGAGUUUAUAUCGGGAUGUUAUACUAAAUAAAAGAAAAAACGAGUCGCUGACACACAGUGAAUUUAUUAAGAGACAUUAGAAACAGUUUAUUAGGAAACUUAUUUGAGAGAACGAUGUUCUUGAGAUAUGUUUCGAGCUAUUAAAAAAAUAUUUAUUUUUGUAGAUGUAGAUAAAAGUUGUUGUGGCACAUGUGUUACGUAGCCCAGUGAGAGUUAUCGCGCGUGUAAAUGUCGAUCGCGAAACACGUCAAGUUGUUACAUAUAUACGUUUACGAGCGUAAGACGCACGCGACACGCCGCCGGCGCUGCGUUCAAUAUAAACCAUCAUUGCAUCCCGUUGCAUCGCUGGCGUGAUUCAGCAGCUUGAAAAAAAAAUCAGCUGUUUCUCUCUUCCCUGCCGAGCGAUGAGCGCGGUCGUCGAGAAAACAUCAGGCGUGGAGUUCGCGAUCGGUGCCCUGGCGGCGGUGGGCGCCGGCUUCUUCACGAAUCCCGUGGACGUGGUGAAGGUGCGGCUGCAGCUGCAGGGUGAGCUGGAGGCGCGGGGCUCGUACAAGAAGAUAUACAAGAACACCCUGCACGCGGCGUAUCUCAUAGCCAAGCACGAGGGCGUGCUGGCCCUGCAGGCGGGACUCGUGCCCGCGCUUGCCUUCCAGGUCGUGCUCAAUGGUAUCCGCCUGGGCGCGUACAAGUCCGCCCAGAGAUACGAGCUGAUCGUCGACAAGCAGGGCAACACCGAUGUUCUACGGACCAUCCUGGUGUCCGGCACGGCCGGCUGCGUCGGUGCCGUCCUCGGCAGUCCGUUGUACCUGGUCAAGACGCAAUUACAGGCGCAAUCCGCGGAGUCCAUCGCCGUGGGCUACCAGCACAAUCACUCGGGUUCGUGGGACGCUUUCAAGUCUCUGUGGAUGGAGGGCGGCGUCGCGGCAUUGUACCGAGGAUGGAACGCGAACAUGCCGCGCGUAUUCGUCGGCUCGGCGACGCAGCUGACCACCUUCGGAUUAGCGUCGGACUGGCUACGCUCGUUAAAUACAUUUCCAGAUCGACCGAUACUGCUGACCUUCCUGGCCUCCGUGAUCGGAGGUAGUUGCGUAGCCGUCACCAUGCAGCCGUUCGACGUUCUGGCGACGCGGUUGUACAAUCAACGUGAGUAUACCGCGCGUGAAAGCCGCCGUACGUGGCAAGGCCUGCUGUGUGUUAAACGCGCGAUUUACCCGAAAGCCACGAUUGUGUCGCUUAACUAACAGCGAUUUGAACAUUUGCGCAAAAUUGAAAUUCCGUAUAACGUUCGUCGAAUAGCGGAAAUUUGUCCGGAAAAAAUAUUAAAAAAUAAAACCGUUCUCAUUUCUAUUUCUACUCAUUUCCGAUAAAAUAUCUAACACUUUCUGUUCGCUCGUGUGUAAUUAUGCUCGAGUCAGCAUCUCGCGAUAAUACAUUAACUUAGCGUACGCGACUAUAAAUACAAUGCGGUGUACGCGUGACUAUAAAUACGAUUCCCUAAUGCCCGUGACUAUAUAAAUACGCCUUGCGUAAAGAAUUCCGCUCGUAAAAUUUCUCGAGCGUAACGUGAAACGCUCGAUUGGAGAGAAACAUUCAGAAAUCGAAAACUCGUUAUCUGUCUGUUAACGCUAUAUAGAUUCUUUAAUAGCAAAUAGACAGACGCGACCGGCAAGGGUACGCUGUACAAAGGUCUCGGGGACGCGCUCGUCAAGAUAUUCCGCACCGAGGGUCUGAC